Molecule: ribosomal RNA, 433 nt
Filed under: uncultured bacterium
Lineage: Bacteria
Description: partial 16S ribosomal RNA
Rfam family: Bacterial small subunit ribosomal RNA
Source: RNAcentral
AACGAACGCUGGCGGCAUGCCUAACACAUGCAAGUCGAACGAGACCUUCGGGUCUAGUGGCGCACGGGUGCGUAACGCGUGGGAACCUGCCCUUAGGUUCGGAAUAACUCCCCGAAAGGGGUGCUAAUACCGGAUAAUGUCUUCGGACCAAAGAUUUAUCGCCUUUGGAUGGGCCCGCGUUGGAUUAGCUAGUUGGUAGGGUAAAAGCCUACCAAGGCGACGAUCCAUAGCUGGUCUGAGAGGAUGAUCAGCCACACUGGGAGUGAGACACGGCCCAGACUCCUACGGGAGGCAGCAAUGGGGAAUAUUGGACAAUGGGCGAAAGCCUGAUCCAUCAAGGCCGCGUGAGUGAUGAAGGCCUUAGGGUUGUAAAGCUCUUUUAACCGGGAUGAUAAUGACAGUACCGGGAGAAUAAGCGCCGGCUAACUCCGUG